ACAGAGGUCUCAAGCGUUGUUCGGAAUCACUGGGCGUAAAGGGUGCGUAGGUGGCGUGGUAAGUCAGAUGUGAAAGCCCAGGGCUCAACCCUGGAACUGCAUCCGAUACUGCCAUGCUAGAGAACUGAAGAGGAGUGUAGAAUUCUCGGUGUAGCAGUGAAAUGCGUAGAUAUCGAGAGGAAUACCAACGGCGAAGGCAGCACUCUGGGCAGUUUCUGACACUGAGGCACGAAGGCUAGGGGAGCAAACAGGA
This 253-nucleotide ribosomal RNA is filed under the name uncultured prokaryote. Its description in RNAcentral is "partial 16S ribosomal RNA". It matches the Rfam family "Bacterial small subunit ribosomal RNA", at positions 525 to 777 of the family's 1533-position model. The record is from RNAcentral.